GAUUGUUUCGUUCCCAAAAGUUGACCAAUUGAUCAUUUCCCUAGCUAUCGCCUUCAAAUUUGCAAGCCCAAAUAUUAAAUCCUAAAAAAUGUCAAUUAAUACUCACACUAACAAAUCUAAAUCCAUCCUUCAUCUCCGCCACCGCCCCAUCUUACAUCUUUCCUUCAUUAUUUUCCUCCUAUUCGUGGUUCCUAAAUCUGUCGCACCAAUCCCUGAAGCGACGUCACUAAAGCUUCGACUCGCGGGAACAUCCGAGAUUGCACUGAUGUCAGGUCAAGAUCCGAGUGCUCGUUGAACGCCAAAUCUAGGUGGUGCCGCAGUAGAAAGCUAGCACUCGAAAGAAAAGCCACUUCCUUCGUGAGAAGGAUUUCUAGCCCCGGGUAAAGGAAGCUUGACUUGUUGGGAGAUCAUCCACCAAGACUGGAUGUCGCAGCAAAGGAAUCAUAUUCAAUUGCAAUCGGCCUUUUCACUUUCUUCCCUUCUGCAAUGUAAAGAGUAGUCAACAGGCGGUUGGCUAAGAGUCUUACUCUGAAGAAGCGAAGGAGACCAGCCCUUGAACCUAACCCUCGGAAGAUAAGCUCAGACUCUGCCCAAGGCUUUAGAUUGUUGGUUUAUAGAUAGCACCAGUCAAGAAUCGAAUUCUAGGUAGCACACUGAAUGAAGUCAAGGCUAUUUCGUCUUUCUAGUCAAGCUCUGGCAAAGGGGAAGACAGAGGAAUUCGAUCGAAAGUGAAAGGCAUUUCGUCAAGAAAUUAAAUGCGUAAAGGACAGAUGCAGCUCAGUCGAAAGAGAUGAGAUGAAAUCGACUCAAUAGUUAACGGAAAGGAAGGUAAUGAAUGGGUUAGGAAGCCACUGAUUAUGAAGGGAAUGAUAAGGCUGCUUUAGGCCAUCGACACCAUCGAUGACUUCUGCUUCUCCAAAUCUGAUGUCUUGCGGUUGCCCUCCCAAGUCUUCGCUUGCGAUUGAAUUUCUUCCUUUUCCUGGGAAAAAAAAUAUUCCCUUUGUCCAGUUUUUUUUCGCUUUGAGAUGGAAUUUUUCUGCUCCCCGUUGAACCUUUUUCUCUAUUCUCUGCUUUUUUUCUUCAAUUCCUCAGACUGAACGAAGAUUUGUGUGAGAUGAAAAAAAGGAAUCAAUAAACUAAUUAGGCUGUAAAUCUCGUUAUUUCCUAUUUUGAUUUGCUCUAGAGGUGGUCGCAGUCACUACUUUUACUGCUGGAGAUGAAGUCAAUCUAUAGGUGGAGGUUGGUCAACUUUGGGAACGAAAAAUUUUGGGCUUCACUUGUUCCAAUAACCUUUCGGACAUUUUUGCCCCUUUAUUAUAUUCCUCCACUACACAUUGUCCAUGCCACCGG
Molecule: long non-coding RNA, 1350 nt
Filed under: Coffea arabica (coffee)
Lineage: Eukaryota; Viridiplantae; Streptophyta; Magnoliopsida; Gentianales; Rubiaceae
Description: long non-coding RNA (CARA_LNC004611)
Source: RNAcentral